GGCACCUAGAUAUACAACCAAAAUGUGAAAGCACCUGUAUGCUGGUUGACAGAAGAUCUUUAAUGGAUGAAGAAGAAUUGCUUGUCUGUCACACUGAAAAACCCUAAAGAAGGGCGAGUGUUAUUCUGGACAGGAUCAAAAAGCCUUCUUCAGGAGGUAUUUGCAACUGGAAGAUACACACCCUUCUCUGCUCCCAUCCUUCUUUAGCACUGCAACACUCCUGGUACGUUACUUCUGGAAGCUGCCAAUGGCUUUUUCAGAGGUGAAGGCUGGUAUGUAGGGAGCUUCUACUCAUAAACAGUAUCUACCUCCUGUGAGAUGCAUUCACCUAGUUAGCCAGAAUAAACUGUGUCUCUAAACUAUAUCA
Molecule: long non-coding RNA, 367 nt
Filed under: Anas platyrhynchos platyrhynchos (common mallard)
Lineage: Eukaryota; Metazoa; Chordata; Aves; Anseriformes; Anatidae
Description: lncRNA (ENSAPLG00000022170.1)
Source: RNAcentral